Molecule: long non-coding RNA, 354 nt
Organism: Melanotaenia boesemani (Boeseman's rainbowfish)
Lineage: Eukaryota; Metazoa; Chordata; Actinopteri; Atheriniformes; Melanotaeniidae
Exons: 3
Source: RefSeq, a predicted model, not a curated record
UUUAACAGCGGAUGGGUUUGCUCCACAGGCCCUUUUCUUCAAUCUCCCGUGGUGGUUGUGGCUGGCGUGGCGGAGCUGUAGCCUUAGCGUGCUGGUUAGGGUCGGGCUUCCACACAGCGUGAGUGGCUGCUGGGGUGUGGAGAGCCGACUGCUCCGCUGAAUGCGGUGCGCGCGGCUGGAUGUCUGCUCCGAUCAUUGGAUAACCGAACCGUGGGAUCGGAGGCAUUGGCGCUUCUCUUGGUUCCUGGGUAUGCCAACCGAGCGAGGCGGCAGGCUUGGGCUGUGCGCCGCCGUCACUCUCUGAGGGAGCUCUGCUGCUGUUUUGGCUCUGCCGGGUUUUCCUCCGUCCGUCUG